UGGGGAAUAUUGCGCAAUGGGGGAAACCCUGACGCAGCGAUGCCGCGUGAGUGAAGAAGGGACUCGUCCCGUAAAGCUUUGUCCCCGGGGAAGAGGAAGACGGUACCCGGGUAGGAGCCCCAGCCAACUACGUGCCAGCAGCUGCGGUAACACGUGGGGGGCGAGCGUUGUCCGGAAUCAUUGGGCGUAAAGGGCACGCAGGCGGCUUCAAGGGCCGCCGAUGAAAUUACCGGGCCCAACCCGGUAACGGUCGGCGGAACCGUGGAGCUCGAGUGCCAGAGAGGCAGGCAGAAUUCCUGGUGUAGCGGUGAAAUGCGCAGAGAUCAGGAGGAAUACCGGAGGCGAAGGCGGCCUGCUGGCUGGCAACUGACGCUCAGGUGCGAAAGCGUGGGGAGCGAAC
This 400-nucleotide ribosomal RNA is filed under the name uncultured bacterium. RNAcentral describes it as "bacterial SSU rRNA". It matches the Rfam family "Bacterial small subunit ribosomal RNA", at positions 355 to 773 of the family's 1533-position model. The record is from RNAcentral.